This 403-nucleotide ribosomal RNA is filed under the name uncultured organism. Its description in RNAcentral is "bacterial SSU rRNA". It matches the Rfam family "Bacterial small subunit ribosomal RNA", at positions 355 to 774 of the family's 1533-position model. The record is from RNAcentral.
UGAGGAAUAUUGCACAAUGGACGAAAGUCUGAUGCAGCAACGCCGCGUGGAGGAUGACGGCCCUUGGGUUGUAAACUCCUUUUUUCAGGGAAGAGAGAGGACGGUACCUGAAGAAUAAGUCACGGCUAACUACGUGCCAGCAGCCGCGGUAAUACGUAGGUGGCAAGCGUUAUCCGGAAUUACUGGGCGUAAAGCGCACGUAGGCGGCUAGUCAAGUUCGACGUGAAAGCUCCCGGCUUAACUGGGAGAGGUCGUUGAAAACUGGUUAGCUUGAGGCAAUGAGAGGGGUGUAGAAUUCCCGGUGUAGUGGUGGAAUGCGUAGAUAUCGGGAGGAAUACCAGUGGCGAAAGCGGCACCCUAGCAUUAGCCUGACGCUCAGGUGCGAAAGCGUGGGGAGCGAACG